UUUUGGCCAGAAUCAAAUACUUUUCAUUGAUAUCUAGUAAAACCAUAACCCCUUUUCGGAGUCUCAAAACAGAGCAAGUCUCUAAGGGCCUGCGGAGGACAAAUCAACCAGUGAUCAGCGAGUGUUUUGUUCAUGUGGGUCUUCGCUACCCAGUCCGCGACACUGUUUGUAUUUCUAUUACAGUAUUGCAGUUUUAAAUUUGUAAAGAGAGACAGCAACCCACGUGCUUCAGUAAUGAGUACCUGCUGUUCCCACGGCAGUGCUUGUGAAGACUUCAAGGUGUUGACCAGGUUUAGACAAUCUGACUGGACAGUCAGUCUUUCAUCAGCACGUGAGGAGAGAAAUUUGAGGGUUUCUACCAUUGCUAGGCAUUCGGCUUGCUCGGCUGAGGAGGCAGGAACGUCCUUUGCAAAUCCGUCAAUCAGGGUUCCAGCUGAGUCGCGGCACAUACAGGCGAUUGAUCCUUCGAGUGAUCCAGGUUGGUGACCUGCAUCUAUAUUGAUUUUCGUUUCGCCCCUUUCUGGAGGAGUCCAGGCGUCUUCUCCUUCACUGUUCUCGGCUGCGCUUUCGUUGUCAAGGUUGUUCCACCUGCUGAAAUUUCUGAGCAAUUGAUGUCCUCUUUCAACCAGCAGCUUUGGAUCUGGGAGGUGCCUUCUAAAGACAAAAUUGUUUCUUGCUUUCCAGAUUUCCCAGAAGACUACCGAGAUUAUCUCUACACCAGUACAGGGACAUCUCAGACUUCCCUCAUCCAUUUACAGAGAAGAAGUAAAUGUUUCGGGGUCUCCACAUGCGCUCGGCAUAUUGGGCAUAGUGGGUCAGAUUCUGUUCCAUAGCUGAGUUGGGGAUUGAUGAGAGGACGAGGCACUUUGAGCUUCUGUUGUUUCGUUUUUACGGAGAGUGUUGUAUCCGCUCUUUACCGUGUACUCUCCUUCCCUCGUACCUGUCCAUAUCAAUUUAUCUUCAUUUAUCUGUGGUCUAAUAUGUAUAGUGAGGAUCUCACACACCACCUGUUCUUCGAAUAUUCUUCGUAGGACCCGUUCCUUCCAAGUGCUUGCCUCUUGAUUCACAAGUUCAUAAACCAUAGUUGGGUCUCCUUCAUUUGCCGGUCCCCUUAUAGUUCCCUAGUUGAGCCACUUAUCUUCCCUGAUGUUAAUUUUUUGACCAUUACCAACUGACCACAUGACCGAGUCUUCAAUUGCCGUUCUCCCCAUAAGUAUGCUCUGCCAUCCUCAAGAUGGUCUGGAUCCCUUCUCUGCCUUCCAAAAGCACUUAGUUGGGUAAUAUAAGCCUUUUAGGACCUGACUGGACAGAGAUGUCUGGUUUUUAGCUAAUAGCCAAGCCUGUUUUCUAAGCAUGGCUUUGUUGAAUGCUAUUAAGUCCCUAAACCCUAGGCCUCCCCUGUCUUUUCCCUGUUUUAGCAUUGCGGCCUUCCUCCAGUGUACUCCUUUUGUUGCUGUUUGGUUCUUCCACCAGAAAGCUGUUAUUUUUUGCUUAAUAGCCCGGCAAACUGAAAGUGGGAUCUUGAAAAUUGACAUGGCAUAUUGAGGUAAUGCUUGGACAACAGUUUUUAACAUAAUUUCUUUCCCUGCUUUAGACAUCAUGUUCUCUUUCCACCCUUCAAGCUUCAUAUUUACCCUUGCCAGAAUCCAAGCAAACAUUUGCUUUUUGGAUGUUCCCCAAUAAGAGGGAAUACCCAGGUACUUUCCUGUCUUAUCAAUCUCCGGGACUCUUAGUUCUCUAGCCAUGUUCCUUCUUAAUGCACUAGGGCUGUCUUUGCUGAAGAAUAUACCUGACUUGUUCAAGUUCACUGCUUGUCCUGAAGCGUAGCAAUACUGGUGAAUUAUGCUAGCAAGGUUCUAGCAUUCUUGUAACGUCCCAUCUAGAAAGAAAAUUGAAUCAUCUGCGAAUAGUAGAUGAGAUAGUACAGGAUAAUGUCUGUUCAAUUUGAUCCCCUUUAUAGUGCCAUCUUGCACAGCCUUUUUCAUCAACAUUGAUACGAAGUUUGCAACCGGUAUGAAUAGGUAUGGGGAUAAAGGGUCCCCCUGCCUUAUUCCUCUAGUAGGCUGGAAGUAAUUCAAUGGUUCCCCAUUCACCUUGAUACUCAGUGAGGUUGUUGUAACACAUUGCAUUAUCAGGUUUACCCAUCUUUCAUUGAACCCCAUUUUUAGCAUACCGGCCUUCAGAAAGUCCCAUUCGAUCCGAUCGUAUGCCUUUUGCAUGUCUAGCUUUAAGACCGCCUGAAAUUUUUGUUUUCUCCUUCGAACCCUUAGCUGGUGCAAAACUUCCUGGACUACAAGGAUAUUGUCUUGGAUUUGCCGUCCUUCUACAAAGGCACUCUGUUCAACUUCAAUUAACUCCGGGAGCCAUGAUUUCAACCUAUUUGCUAGCACUUUUGAGAUGAUCUUAUAAGCAAAAUUGCACAAGCUUUAGGCCUAAACUCUUCCAGCUUCUCUGGGUUUUUAACUUUUGGCACCAAGGAUAUAAGCGUUCUAUUUAAUUGGGGAUUCAACAGUCUAGUUUGGAAGAAGUUUCUGACCUCUUAAAAUACUUCCUAUUUUAUAUCUUCCCAGUAGUGUUGAAAGAACUGGCCAUUCAAUCCAUCUGGACCCGGGGCCUUAGAGAUUCCAAGCUGGAAAGUUGCUUGUUUAACCUCAUCCAUCGUUACUUCUUGAAGCAGCCUAAGGUUAGUUUCCUCCUUCACACUACAAGAGCAAUGCUGAAGAAUUGGGUCAAAUUGUCGAUGUCCAACUGAGGUAUAUAGAUCUCUAAAGAAAUUAGCACUCAUCCUCUUUAGUUGUUCUUGAUCUCGGGUCCAAUUCCCUUCUGCAUCUUUCAACAUAGAAAUUUUGUUUCGUUGUCUCCGCUGAAUAGUGGAAGCGUGAAAAAACUUUGUAUUUUGAUCCCCCCCACUUGAGCCAGUUUAUCCUCGAACGCAUUGCCCAGUACAUUUCCUCCUGACUCCAUAGCCGUUGAACAUCAUUCCUUAACUUUUGUAGUUGUUCUUUUUCCUCUUCAGCAGUUUGCCUAUUUGUUAUGUACUGGAUUUGUUCCAUUAAAAGCUUUAUUCUUGACUGCCCAUUUGAGAACUUCUUGCUCCAGCUUUGUAAUGUAGCAGCAGUAUUGGUCAUCCUGCUCGGGAGGCCCUCAGUUGCUGACAUCAAAGAAUUCCAUGCCUUAUUAAUCACUCCUCUGCAUUCCUCAUCUUCUAGCCAAAAUGCUUCAAAGAGCAUGGCUAGCCUCUGGUCUGCAUCUUCUUCCGACUCCAUGGAGGUCGUUUGACACUGGUGCUUCUGAAGUUUCCCGCACCAUAU
RNA transcript from Syzygium oleosum, 3311 nucleotides. RefSeq lists it as uncharacterized. The transcript is spliced from 4 exons. The record is from RefSeq and is a predicted model, not a curated record. Lineage: Eukaryota; Viridiplantae; Streptophyta; Magnoliopsida; Myrtales; Myrtaceae.